UCCUGGUUAGCCCAGUCGAUAGGGCGCUCCACUGGAAAUGGAGAUUUCCCAGGUUCAAUACCAGGACCAGGCG
Molecule: non-coding RNA, 73 nt
Organism: Ixodes scapularis (black-legged tick)
Lineage: Eukaryota; Metazoa; Arthropoda; Arachnida; Ixodida; Ixodidae
Source: Rfam